This is a non-coding RNA of Arachis ipaensis, 993 nucleotides long. The record is from RefSeq and is a predicted model, not a curated record. Lineage: Eukaryota; Viridiplantae; Streptophyta; Magnoliopsida; Fabales; Fabaceae.
AUCACGCGUGUUCUCACUUUCACUUUCACUUUCACUCUCGAUGCUCUAAAACGGUGAAACCACCUCUCCAUCCUCUUCAAUUUCUUGCUCCGCGUCUUCAAUCUCUCGAUCCCCUCAUCGAUCUCAUCACAGUUCACUUUUAGCUAUUUGAAUUCAACUCUCAAUCCUCCUCAAUAACUUGCUCCGCCUCUUCGAUCUCACCUCCGCCACUAUCACCAAAGUUGUCGUUGCCGCUGCCGCCACCGUCAUCGAAGCCACCAUUGCCGGCGUAGUCACCAGGAUUGUGAUGAUAGACAAGGAUAUCUCAAAUUCAAAAUGAGAUCUAUGUUCUCGGAUCUGAAUUGAAAAUUCUCAAGGAUUAUGUUACAACAAGAUGGAACAGAGCACCGGAGCUUUGUGGAUCAUUUUACUCAAAGAUUAAUGAAAGCACAAGCACUUGGAGACAGUUCUAGUUUAGAGUUUAUGAGGGGUAGGAAAAUUUUGGAGGUUAAUCCAGAUCAUCCUAUCAUCAAAGACUUAAAUUGGUUUGUAGGGAGUAUACUACACAAAUAGGCUGAUCACAUGCAUACCUAUGGAUAAAACAGAUUCAGCAAUUUUGCCGUUUUGAGCAAUUUUUUAUUAAUGUGACCAAGGAAAAGCUUCAUUUUAAUCAGCAUGUUUUCAAAAUGGAGUAGAAAGAGUACAAGAAGGAGGAGAUCGAUUGGAGUUACAUUGAAUUUGUUGACAAUCAAGAUAUUCUAGAUCUCAAAGGUUCAUAGUUUUAUUCUAGAUCUCAAAGAAAUUAGGCUAUUUUCACAUUUGUUUUAGUGUAAUAGGCAAUUUUCACAUUUUAAUUUUGUAUUUGAUCAUGUAAACAUAUUGAAGAAAUAAAAAAAUUGACUUAUUGGACCAAUUUUAGUGUUUAAAUAUCUUGGAUUUAAUUUGUAAAGUAGGUGUAGAAUAUGUAAUUGAAGAAAAAAAAUUUAAUUCAAUAUUUUGUACAUUUAAAUGUUA